RNAcentral lists this ribosomal RNA (634 nucleotides) under uncultured Acidobacteriota bacterium. RNAcentral describes it as "bacterial SSU rRNA". It matches the Rfam family "Bacterial small subunit ribosomal RNA", at positions 8 to 623 of the family's 1533-position model. The record is from RNAcentral. Lineage: Bacteria; Pseudomonadati; Acidobacteriota.
AGAGUUUGAUCCUGGCUCAGAAUCAACGCUGGCGGCGUGCCUAACACAUGCAAGUCGCGCGCGAAAGGGGGGCAACCCCCAAGUAGAGCGGCGAACGGGUGAGUAACGCGUGGGUGAUCUUCCUUCGAGUGGGGAAUAACACCGGGAAACUGGUGCUAAUACCGCAUGACAUUCCUGGUUCAUUCCAGGUAUCAAAGCCGGGGACCGCAAGGCCUGGCGCUUGAAGAUGAGCCCGCGUCCGAUUAGCUAGUUGGCGGGGUAACGGCCCACCAAGGCUUCGAUCGGUAGCCGGCCUGAGAGGGCGGACGGCCACACUGGGACUGAGACACGGCCCAGACUCCUACGGGAGGCAGCAGUGGGGAAUUUUUCGCAAUGGGGGAAACCCUGACGAAGCAACGCCGCGUGGAGGAUGAAGGCCUUCGGGUCGUAAACUCCUGUCGACCGGGAAGAAUGCACCUGACCUAAUACGUCGGCGUGUUGACUGUACCGGUGGAGGAAGCCACGGCUAACUCUGUGCCAGCAGCCGCGGUAAUACAGAGGUGGCAAGCGUUGUUUCGGAAUUACUGGGCGUAAAAGGGCGCGUAGGCGGCCCGUCAAGUCCCGUGUGAAAGCCCCCGGCUCAACCGGGGAACGG